GGAACAAAGGACAGGAACCACAGAUGUGUGAGUGAUUUCUGGACCCAGAUUAGGAAGGAAUCCAGUCUGUGAAAAAACCUUAUUGGAACAUCUCUGGGGGUGAGAUUUUAUCUGUAAUCAGUUUCUUAAUGUAUUAGGCUUAGAUUUG
Molecule: non-coding RNA, 148 nt
Organism: Chelonoidis abingdonii (Abingdon island giant tortoise)
Lineage: Eukaryota; Metazoa; Chordata; Testudines; Testudinidae
Source: RefSeq, a predicted model, not a curated record